GACGAACGCUGGCGGCGGGCUUAACACAUGCAAGUCGAACGGAAAGGCCCUGCUUUUGUGGUUUGCUCGAUUGGCGAACGGGUGAGUAACACGUGAGUAACCUGCCCUUGACUUUGGGAUAACUUCAGGAAACUGGGGCUAAUACCGGAUAGGAGCUCCUGCUGCAUGGUGGGGGUUGGAACGUUUCGGCGGUUGGGGAUGGACUCGCGGCUUAUCAGCUUGUUGGUGGGGUAGUGGCUUACCAAGGCUUUGACGGGUAGCCGGCCUGAGAGGGUGACCGGCCACAGUGGGACUGAGAUACGGCCCAGACUCCUACGGGAGGCAGCAGUGGGGAAUAUUGCACAAUGGGCGGAAGCCUGAUGCAGCAACGCCGCGUGCGGGAUGACGGCCUUCGGGUUGUAAACCGCUUUCGCCUGUGACGAAGCGUGAGUGACGGUAAUGGGUAAAGAAGCACCGGCUAACUACGUG
RNAcentral lists this ribosomal RNA (468 nucleotides) under uncultured bacterium. RNAcentral describes it as "partial 16S ribosomal RNA". It matches the Rfam family "Bacterial small subunit ribosomal RNA", at positions 28 to 507 of the family's 1533-position model. The record is from RNAcentral.